GCGACCGGCGCACGGGUGAGUAACGCGUAUGCAACCUGCCUGCAACAGGGGGAUAACCCGGAGAAAUCCGGACUAAUACCGCAUAAUACAAGAUAUCCGCCUGGAUUUUUGUUAAAGAUUUAUCGGUUGCAGAUGGGCAUGCGUUCCAUUAGUUAGUUGGGGAGGUAACGGCUCACCAAGACGUCGAUGGAUAGGGGAACUGAGAGGUUUAUCCCCCACACUGGAACUGAGACACGGACCAG
This 242-nucleotide ribosomal RNA is filed under the name uncultured bacterium. RNAcentral describes it as "partial 16S ribosomal RNA". It matches the Rfam family "Bacterial small subunit ribosomal RNA", at positions 91 to 334 of the family's 1533-position model. The record is from RNAcentral.